This is a long non-coding RNA of Lucilia cuprina (Australian sheep blowfly), 405 nucleotides long. RefSeq lists it as uncharacterized. Lineage: Eukaryota; Metazoa; Arthropoda; Insecta; Diptera; Calliphoridae. The transcript is spliced from 2 exons. The record is from RefSeq and is a predicted model, not a curated record.
CAACAUUUGUAACAAAGAUUCUUUAAUUCGGUAUAAAAUUUUUUCUUACUUAUUGCUUUAAAUUUCGUCUUGGUUGUAAUUAUUGUUAUUCCGAAUAUUAAUAUAAAAUAAACCUUGCUAACAGAAAAUAUGUAUGUAUAAGUAAAAUAUUUUACUAUCACCACCUUUUGUGAGUUUGCCUUGGUUUAAAGCUGUCAGUUUUAAAAUGUCAAGUGAUGAAAAAAUCGAAGAAACGAAUUUAAUGCAAAAAAGCAGAAAAAGCAGGGAGUUGUUGCGAUUUUAUAUUAAACUGAACCAAUAUUUGUGAAUUAAAAAUAAAAGAAAUCUCAAAUUGACAGACAAAACGUAAAAGCACUAUAAAAAGCCGAAAAGUUGAUGAAGUGAAAAACUUAAAUGAUUGUCAAA